UACGGGGGGAGCAAGCGUUGUUCGGAUUUACUGGGCGUAAAGGGCGCGUAGGCGGCACGGUAAGUCGGGAGUGAAAGCCCGGGGCUCAACCCCGGAACGUCUUUCGAAACUGCCGAGCUAGAGUGCGGAAGAGGCAACUGGAAUUCCCAGUGUAGCGGUGAAAUGCGUAGAUAUUGGGAAGAACACCUGAGGCGAAGGCGGGUUGCUGGGCCGACACUGACGCUGAUGCGCGAAAGCCAGGGGAGCGAACGGG
This 253-nucleotide ribosomal RNA is filed under the name uncultured bacterium. RNAcentral's name for it is "partial 16S ribosomal RNA". It matches the Rfam family "Bacterial small subunit ribosomal RNA", at positions 524 to 776 of the family's 1533-position model. The record is from RNAcentral.